CCAAUAGCGUAUAUUAAAGUUGUUGCAGUUAAAAAGCUCGUAGUUGAAUUUCGGGAUCAGUGCGCUGGUCGUGCCUUCGGUAUGUACUGGUGUUACUGGUUCCUACCUUCUGACGAACCGUCAUGUCAUUAAUUUGGUGUGGCGGGAAAUCAGGACUGUUACUUUGAAAAAAUUAGAGUGUUUAAAGCAGGCUCGCGCUUGAAUACAUUAGCAUGGAAUAAUGAAAUAGGGCGUUUGAUCCUAUUUUGUUGGUUUCUAGGAUUGACGUAAUGAUUAAUAGGGAUAGUUGGGGGCAUUAGUAUUCAAUUGUCAGAGGUGAAAUUCUUGGAUUUAUUGAAGACUAACUACUGCGAAAGCAUUUGCCAAGGAUGUUUUCAUUAAUCAAGAACGAAAGUUAGGGGAUCGAAGACGAUCAGAUACCGUCGUAGUCUUAACCAUAAACUAUGCCGACUAGGGAUCGGAUGAUGUUAAUUUUUUAAUGACUCAUUCGGCGCCUUACG
Molecule: ribosomal RNA, 500 nt
Filed under: uncultured Glomeromycotina
Lineage: Eukaryota; Fungi; Glomeromycota
Description: partial small subunit ribosomal RNA
Rfam family: Eukaryotic small subunit ribosomal RNA
Source: RNAcentral